Molecule: ribosomal RNA, 254 nt
Filed under: uncultured bacterium
Lineage: Bacteria
Description: partial 16S ribosomal RNA
Rfam family: Bacterial small subunit ribosomal RNA
Source: RNAcentral
UACGGGGGGAGCAAGCGUUGUUCGGAUUUACUGGGCGUAAAGGGCGCGUAGGCGGUCAGCACAAGUCAGUUGUGAAAUCUCCGGGCUUAACUCGGAAAGGUCAACUGAUACUGUGCGACUAGAGUGCAGAAGGGGCAACUGGAAUUCUCGGUGUAGCGGUGAAAUGCGCAGAUAUCAGGAGGAACACCGAUUGCGAAGGCAGCUCGCUGGAACGUUACUGACGCUGAGACGCGAAAGCGUGGGGAGCAAACAGG